GGAUUAGAUACCCUGGUAGUCCACGCCGUAGACGAUGUCUGCUAGACGUCAGGGGGCGUAGCCCUUUGGUGUCGCAGCUAACGCAUUAAGCAGACCGCCUGGGGAGUACGGCCGCAAGGUUAAAACUCAAAGGAAUUGACGGGGGCCCGCACAAGCGGUGGAGCAUGUGGUUUAAUUCGAAGAUACGCGAGGAACCUUACCUGGGCUCGAAUGGCUAUGGACGGAUCCAGAAAUGGGUCUUUCUUCGGACCAUAGUCAAGGUGCUGCAUGGCUGUCGUCAGCUCGUGCCG
This 290-nucleotide ribosomal RNA is filed under the name uncultured bacterium. RNAcentral's name for it is "partial 16S ribosomal RNA". It matches the Rfam family "Bacterial small subunit ribosomal RNA", at positions 775 to 1067 of the family's 1533-position model. The record is from RNAcentral.